Molecule: unclassified non-coding RNA, 345 nt
Filed under: soil metagenome
Description: partial contains 5.8S ribosomal RNA, internal transcribed spacer 2, and large subunit ribosomal RNA
Rfam family: 5.8S ribosomal RNA (bases 1-120)
Source: RNAcentral
GAUGAAGAACGCAGCGAAAUGCGAUAAGUAAUGUGAAUUGCAGAAUUCAGUGAAUCAUCGAGUCUUUGAACGCGCAUUGCGCCCCCUGGUAUUCCGGGGGGCAUGCCUGUCCGAGCGUCAUUGCUGCCCUCAAGCACGGCUUGUGUGUUGGGCCUCCGUCCUCCUCCCGGGGGACGGGCCCGAAAGGCAGCGGCGGCACCGCGUCCGGUCCUCGAGCGUAUGGGGCUUCGUCACCCGCUUUUGUAGGCCCGGCCGGCGCUUGCCGACACAUCAAUCUUUUUUCCAGGUUGACCUCGGAUCAGGUAGGGAUACCCGCUGAACUUAAGCAUAUCAAUAAGCGGAGGA